RNAcentral lists this ribosomal RNA (410 nucleotides) under uncultured diatom. RNAcentral describes it as "bacterial SSU rRNA". It matches the Rfam family "Bacterial small subunit ribosomal RNA", at positions 365 to 788 of the family's 1533-position model. The record is from RNAcentral. Lineage: Eukaryota; Bacillariophyta.
UCCGCAAUGGGCGAAAGCCUGACGGAGCAAUACCGCGUGAGGGAUGACGGCCUAUGGGUUGUAAACCUCUUUUUUCAGGGAGGAAGAAAGUGACGUGUACCUGAAGAAUAAGCAUCGGCUAACUCCGUGCCAGCAGCCGCGGUAAGACGGAGGAUGCAAGUGUUAUCCGGAAUCACUGGGCGUAAAGCGUCUGUAGGUGGUUGAAUAAGUCAGCUGUUAAAUCUUGAGGCUCAACCUCAAAAUCGCAGUCGAAACUAUUCGACUAGAGUAUAGUAGGGGUAAAGGGAAUUUCCAGUGUAGCGGUGAAAUGCGUAGAGAUUGGAAAGAACACCGAUGGCGAAGGCACUUUACUGGGCUAUUACUAACACUCAGAGACGAAAGCUAGGGUAGCAAAUGGGAUUAGAUACCCC